This 318-nucleotide ribosomal RNA is filed under the name uncultured bacterium. RNAcentral's name for it is "bacterial SSU rRNA". It matches the Rfam family "Bacterial small subunit ribosomal RNA", at positions 29 to 334 of the family's 1533-position model. The record is from RNAcentral.
UACGAACGCUGGCGGCGUGCCUAAUACAUGCAAGUAGAACGCUGACUACUUUAGCUUGCUAGAGUUGGAAGAGUUGCGAACGGGUGAGUAACGCGUAGGUAACCUGCCUAUUAGCGGGGGAUAACUAUUGGAAACGAUAGCUAAGACCGCAUAGGUACGGACACUGCAUGGUGACCGUAUUAAAAGUGCCUCAAAGCACUGGUAGAGGAUGGACUUAUGGCGCAUUAGCUGGUUGGCGGGGUAACGGCCCACCAAGGCGACGAUGCGUAGCCGACCUGAGAGGGUGACCGGCCACACUGGGACUGAGACACGGCCCAG